AUAAGUACGCGGAGGACAUGAAACUAAACAGGAUACCCAUAGUAAUGGCGAAUGAACAGGGAGGAGCUCAGCAUGAAAAUUGGGUGUUGUGGCUUUGACUUGUAAUCUUCUGAAGCAUUGCCAACAGAGGCGCAGAUGUAAGUCUUUUGGGAAAGAGCGUCAAUGAAGGUGAGAAUCCUGCUUGCCAUUUGCAGCCCCUUGUGCACGGUGUGCUGUCGAAGAGUCACGUUCCUUGGGAUUGGAGCGCAAAGUGGGUGGUAACUUUCAUCUGCAGCUAAAUAUUGGUCCGGGCCCGAUAGGAAACAAGUACCAUGAGGGAAAGUUGAAAAGGACUUUGGAAAGAGAGUUAAAAGUGCCUGAAAUUGCUGGAAGAGAAGCGAAUGGAACCAGUGGCAAUGGUUGAGAUUGUCACACACUUCAAGGAUUGGUUGUUUUGCCAGCGCAAGUGGUUUAGCAAUUAUUGAGAUUCCAGUGUGUGGUGUGUCUUGCCUUCUGUGUCAUGGCGUGUUUAUGCAUUAAUACUAUUCAAAAUGUAUGGCAAUAUGCUUUUCAAUCUAUGAAUGUGUCUGUUGCAUUUGUGCAUAAGCGUAUUAGUUAAUGUGGCUGCAGAAUGUGAUGCCUCGAGUUGCUUGGUUAAGCGUGAUCAUUUCUUUCCGCACUGAUCUUGAUUAAAUGGUU
This 678-nucleotide ribosomal RNA is filed under the name Histioneis sp. MR40.15. RNAcentral's name for it is "LSU rRNA". It matches the Rfam family "Eukaryotic large subunit ribosomal RNA", at positions 42 to 639 of the family's 3401-position model. Lineage: Eukaryota; Dinophyceae; Dinophysales; Dinophysaceae. The record is from RNAcentral.